ACCUGGCUGGCUCAGUUGGUAGAGCAUGCGACUCUUGAUCUCGGGGUUGUGAGUUCAAGCCCCACGCUGAGGG
Molecule: transfer RNA, 73 nt
Filed under: Felis catus (domestic cat)
Lineage: Eukaryota; Metazoa; Chordata; Mammalia; Carnivora; Felidae
Also listed under: 4 other names
Rfam family: tRNA
About the family: Transfer RNA (tRNA) molecules are approximately 80 nucleotides in length. Their secondary structure includes four short double-helical elements and three loops (D, anti-codon, and T loops).
Source: Rfam by way of RNAcentral